Gallus gallus (chicken) is the source of this 8247-nucleotide long non-coding RNA. RefSeq lists it as uncharacterized. Lineage: Eukaryota; Metazoa; Chordata; Aves; Galliformes; Phasianidae. The transcript is spliced from 3 exons. The record is from RefSeq and is a predicted model, not a curated record.
UGCCUGUUGCGGGGCCAGCUCCCUCCUUGGCCGAGGAGGAGGCUUUUCUCUGCUUCCCUUCUCCCAGGCGGCCCCACUAAGGCCCCCUGUGCCCCAGCAGAGCCAAUGUCUGGCCUGUGGGAGCAGGAGGAGCAGCGGUGGAAGCCUGAUGCCAUGUGGUCCCAGGGGACAGCCAUAUGGCUGGGGAGCACACCUGCAUCGGGGCUGUCUAGGAGUGCCCACAUCGACCUCACCUUUCCUCACAGGAGAGGUGCUCCAGCCCUCUGAUCACCUUAGUGGCCCUCCUCUGGACCGCUCCAAGAGCUCCAUGUCCUUGGCUAUUGGGCUAUUAAAAUAGAAUCUGAUCUAACUAAUGAGCGCACUGUCUUGAUGAGCAAAUGGAGCCCCAUUUUCCCUCUGCAUGUCUUACCUAAGGCAGCAGAGGCUUCUGAAAUCCAUUGCUGAAGCCAGUUCAGAUUACUUUUCAUUUCUUAGCCUGAUUUUCUAGUCCAAGUAAAUGAGCUGGAUGUUGAGAAACUCUGGAAAGUUCAGCAUCUGUACCGGAAUGCUGCUUAUGCCGCAGGUUGAAUAUAAUAUGGAAUUUAAGUCACAGAGGAAAAAUGGAAUGUUUAAGAAUGUAAUAACCAUUUAUAUUACAUAUAUAAAUGUCAUAUUGCAGAUACAUGUCAUACAUACAUGUAUACCUGUCUUAUUACAGAUAUACCUCUCAAUGAAUGCAAUAACCUUGCAGAAAGGUGGUGACAGGGCCAAGCUGCAGAACAGACCAAUCCGUAUGUCUCUGAAAUUGCUAGCUUCCUGUCUUGAAGGAUUUUUAUCAUGGUUCAGUUUAUCAUGGACAUGUACAAAAUCUUUUGUAAAAUUCUGGGCAUUGAAGAGCAACUGACAAGACAAAAGUGUCCCCAAAAAUAACAAACGUACAUAUACUCACUCUGAAAAGGCUUGCAUUUUCCAGUUAACAUUUUGACCACAGCAAAAAUCCCAGUAAAUGCAUGUAGCAAUUAAGCACAUGACUACAAGAGUACUAAAGGUACUCUGAACCCCAACAUGUUCAGAACAAUUGUAAAAGUGCUUCUGUUUUUCCCAGGCUAGACACCAUUGGGCACCCUGACCAACCUAAUCUCCAGUGACCAGGUGACCCUCCUGGUCAGUGAGAGAAAGUCUGUUGACGUAGUCUGCCUUGACUUCAGCAAAGCCUUUGACUCUGCCUCCCACAGUAUUCUCCCAGAGAAGUUGGCAGCCCAUGGCUUGGACAGGUACACUCUUUGCUGGGUAAAGAACUGAUUGGAGAGCCAGGCCCAGAGUAUGGUGGUGAAUGGAGUUACAACCAGCUGUGAACAGUCACGAGCACUGGUGCCCAGAGCAGCAGAUAUAGCUGGAAACACCAAUGUCAUGGUUUUGUAACUUCGCUAUUGGUAUUCCACAUCAUAACAUCAUGGACAAAAGAGAAGAACUACGUAUCCCAGAGGACCUCACGGUCAGAGAAGGAAGACACAUCACGGAAGAUACGUCAUCUGGUUGCGCGCAGUUUUUUCUUCACUUUCGCUUGCUGCCGGGAGAGGAGUGGGUGUGCUUUCCAAGCCGGGCGCCUUCAUCAAGGAAUACAGCAUUCAGAGGCACAUCUUUUGUUGCAUCCAGCUAGCGUGCAGCUCUGUGCCCCUGACAGCCACUGCAGUAGCUGGCAGACAGCCCAGUGCUAUGAUUGCAGCAAAACACGAGGUAGCACCAUCCUGAGAGCAGUGCCUUAAGGCUGACUGGGCUGACCUUUAAAAAUGGAAAGCAGAACACAGCAAAAACAUGCUUUUGAGCUGCAAGCACACAGUGUAUUUCCACUGCUCCACCACCAGAAUUGGAAGGACUUUACUGAAAUAACACCUACUAGUUCGGAGAUGCCGUCCUCUCUGACACUUACUGUCUUAAAUGUCCCUGAUUUCAUAAACCAGUUGAUUGUUAAGUAUUGGUUUCAGUGAACAGAAAUCUGAAUCACCAUGCCAUAGGCCCAUCAUGUCAAAAUCAUCCUCACUGUCUUUAAAGUAGUUAUAGCAUUUCACACACAAGAUUUGUAGAGCGAGAGAAUGUGCUCAUUAGACCAAAGUGAUAAAUGGUGGGAAAAGCAGGCUCAAGCAACACAGGCUGUCUUCAAAUCUUUCCAGACACCAGAGAACUAAAAAUGAAAGUAUUUCUGGGUAGUUUAUGUUUCUCUGGCAAGCUAGACCACUUUCUUUGCUAUUACCUAAUUUUACUUCUUAAUGGAGAUGUUGUACUUGUCUGGAGAAAAUGCAAGCCAAAACUGCAGCUGCCAGUAAAAGUGGAUAGGAGAAGCUGAUAUCUCACUCCAAAGCCUUUUCUUCCCACUUCAGUAACUGCUACUACAGCACAAGCUAUCAGGAUUGGGAAGUUCAAGUGAUAGACUAUGGAAAUUGAUGGGGAAGAUGUAGACGAUGAUGAAGAAGAUGAUAGGGCAUAUGUAAGACAGGAUAGCAAUAGCCCAUUGUAAAUUUACGUACGGUCUCUUGAACAAUAAAGAAGAUGAGCUUGAAUAGAAGUUAUUAUUUUAGGUAACUUUAGUUGUUCAUGAUUUUCUGCUCGGCUGCUCUUACUAUUAAAUUACAGCAAUUUAGGUAUGUACAUUUGCUUAUAUAUGCACAUUGUAACUAACACAAACACUGCUUCAAACUUAUCCACAGGACUUCUGUAAGAUAAAGAAAGAAAGGAAGAAAAAAACGUGAAAAAUAUAUUCAAAAGGCGUUAUUGAAAAAGGGUAUUUGUGAAUACACUCCUACACUCGCUUGGAUUAAUGUUACACUUUAUUAUUGUCAGUGGCUUGUAUAACCCACUCCUUAUAAGAUUUCAAAGGCAUAAUCGAAACUAAACCUGUGCCUGAAAUCACUGCAAGCUGGUAAAAUGAGAUUUUUGUUUAUGUGCUCUCAGACAAACGUCAUUAUUCUAUGAAAACUUCUAUAUACGACGUUACUCCAAAGUUAAAAAAUAUAUAUAAAUACAUAAAUUUAAACCUUGUUUCUUAGAAGAAUUUUGUCUAACUUUGUACAAGUAAGACUGGAACAAAAUUACAUUCUUAGAUAUGCAUUUGAAAUUUUCUCAAAUACCAGUUCUUUAUAGAGGUACCUUGUUUUAAUAGCUGCAUAUGCUUUCACUUCUUCAGUCGGAUAGGUUUCGUUUUGUUUUUUUUUUUUACUUUCAGAGCUUUUAAUGUGCUGUCAGGGACCCCAGAUGUCACCAAGUAGGGGAUAAGCUUUCAAAACCUUGUGAUACAAAGUUGAGAUAUUUCUUAGGAAAAAGAAGAUUUAUUAGGAGAGAAGUGGUACUGACGUCUCCUUUCCAAAUGCAGUGGUUUUGGUGGGAUUCAAAUGGCUCCCGAGAUGAGAAGCCUGUUGUCAAGACACAGCAGGAAGAUGAUUUUAUGUUGUAUGGAGAGGGUCAAAGAUGGAAGAUAGUUGCCUUUGAAAGUAUGUUCUUGAGACAGCAAGAAUUAACUGAAUAACAUUAGGAAGACAUCAUGUAAGGAAGGGAACUGUGAAAAAGUUUGGUUGUAUUAUUUUGAAGAAGCAGCUCGAAAAUAGCAUUCAGGGGUACCCAAACUAGUGACCUACAGAGUCAUAUGAACUUUACGGUGUUUCCCUCCCUUUUCCUGCUGACAGUGCAUAGGGAGACCACAAAGAAUGAUAAAGAUAACAUUUGUCGUUUGUCCAAGAGCCACAGACAGUUGGUGACUCACUGACACUGCUGAAGAAAUCUUCAAGGGAAACAGCGCAGUGAAGGAAACCAGUAAUAAAAGUGUAGAAUAUAGCACAGAAAGAACUGAAAUACCAUCUUUUACACUAUCUUGGAAAAAAAAUGGUAAAGAAAUUAAAAUUCACAGCUGUUCAAAUCCACAAAUCCUUAGAUGCCAAAAAAGCAAAUGCUGUCUCUCUCUUUUCAUGCCUUCUCCUUCAUGGGCAACAGGUUAGCCAUGAGCCAGCAGUCUGCCCUAGUGGCCAGGAAGGCCAGUGGUAUCCUGGGGUGCAUUAAAAAGAGCGUGGCUAGCAGGUCGAGGGAGGUGAUCUUUCCCCUCUGCUUUGCCCUGGUGAGGCCACAUCUAGAGUAGUAUGUCCAGUUCUGGGCUCCCCAGUUCAAAAAAAAAAACAAAAAAAAAACAAAACAGGGAUCUCCUAGAAGGAGUCCAGCAGAAGGCCACAAAUACAAUAAAGGGACUGGAGCAUCUCCUAUAUGAGGAAAGGCUGAGUGACCUGAGUCUGUUCAGCCUCGGUAAAAGAAGACUGAUCUGAUUAAUGUUUAUAAAUAUCUACAGGGAGGUGGGAGGCAAAUGGAUGUAGCCAGGCUUUCCUCAAUAGUGUGUAGCAAUAGGACAAGGAGGGAUGACCCAAAAAUCAUACACAGGAAAUUCAAUACAAUAUGCAGAAGAACUUCUUUAUGAUAAGGGUGACAGAGCACUGGAACUGGUUGCCCAGAAAGGUUGUGGAGUCUUCUUCUAUGGGGAUAUUCAAGACGCAUUGUAGGGAACCUGCUUUAGCAGGUUUGGACUCAGUAGUCUCUUGAGGUCCCUUCCAACCUCUGCAAUUCUGUGAUUCACCCACCACACUGAGAAAGAUAUCCUGAAGGAAACAAAAACAUUUACACAAACAAAGAAAACCAAUCUGCUAUGGCAUCUCUUUUAUCUGUUUCCUAACAGGGUUCCAACCUCACAUUCCAUAUAUCAUAGGUAAAUUUCUCCCAGUUUCUUACUUCUCAAGCUUUUCUUCAUCUCAAAGCCUAUUGCUCUCUUCUUUCGUCUCCUUGUACCUCCUUCUUUGCUAUUCUCUUGUACCCAUGGAGUUUCUCAAGCCUCAGGCUCUUUUCCAAGCAGUUGUACUUUCCCUUUCUCCUAGAUAUUAUCUCUCGUUACUGUCUCAUUAAUAAUGAUCUUUCAAGAAGAUUACAUAAAUUCAUGUCUCCUUGCACAAUUUUACCACCCACUUACCUCUCAUGUAACUAAGUAAUUUGAUUUUAAUGGGAAGUGGGAGUUACCAGCACACUUUACCCACUUCCUAUCCAAUGGAAUGUAUGUAAAUAGGGGAAAAUUUACUUCUUCCCCAUCUAUUCUGGAGGUUUGCAAGAAGGGAUGUGAAAUAGCUGAUAGGAAUUUAUGUGCAUUACAGCCAAAGCCACCAUCCCUUACAGACGACUCCCUAAAUCAGACUGCAUUACCAUAGUGUACCAUCAAUCUAACUACGGUUCUUAUAUGACUAUUACAUGACUUCUGGCUAAGAACUCAGGCUAGAAUUUCAAACCAGAAAGAGGAACAAAUGUAUGAAUCAUAGAAUCACAGAAUCACAGAAUGGCUUGGAUUGAAAGGGCCUUGAAGAUCACCCAAUUCGAGCCCCCUGCUGCAGGCAGGGCUGCCCCCCACCAGAUCAGGCUGCCCAGAGCCCCAUCCAGCCUGGCCUUGAACGCCUCCAGGGAUGAAAAGCUCAACUGCUUGACUUACCAUACAAGUGCUUCAAAUAGAAUUGAGACAUUUGGUUCUCUCAUGACAAAGAAAUAUAUAUUCGUAUUGAAACACUCCUUAUAUAUCCCUUCUCGCAACAGGUCUAAGCAGGCUUAAUACCUGCAGGAGCAACACCUCUUUAACCAACGAAACAAGUACAUUUUUCUUCGCAUGACUUUGUACUCAGUAAAAUAUUGAAAAGGAAAAUAGGUGUUCUUUUAUUACUCCUCUUCCAUAUAACAUAUUCAGCACUUUGAUAGAUUUUUUCAGGAACAGUUCAGGUUCUCCACUUAUCUGUGGUGGUUUCACACCAAUGGGCAGUUCAGCACUCCUACAUCACUUCUCCUCAAAAGGAGAGAAAAUAUGAUGAGGAAAAUAAAGGCUCGUGGGUUGAAGUAAGGACAGGGAGAUCACUCACCAAGUACCAUCGUUCCAGCUGUAUUUGUCUUGCAAGACAACAGCUCUCAUGAGGAUAUAAAGGAACAUCAAGGAUGUUCUCAUCAGCACUGUUGUGAGGCAAAGCUGGGAAGGUGGCAUAAAGGCUGGUACUGAAGGGAAGCUGCCUGCAGGCCCCUCCAGUACAGCAGUCUGAGUUUGCCCUGCUGCCACAGGACUCAUGCAGCAAGGCACAGCCUCAAGGCCACUGCUCUGCUGCACAGCGCUUACUCAAGCUGACUGUGGUGUUGUGGGUCACCCUGUGAGGAUCAAUACAUUAUCCUGUCCCAAAUUAAGGACACCAACAAUAUAUGUUCCAUAUCUGUUUAUAGGAAGGCUCUCAGUUAAGAAUAUAACUACCUAUACCAGAUCCUGGAUGAAUAACUUCCAGACUGCUUGGGCUAUAAGACCCUGUUAAUUCAGUGCCAGUGUUAACUGAGCCAUUUUUCUACGAGUAUCCAGGAGGGCAUCUGUCUGCUCCUUCAAGGGCAUCUGAUCAAGGGCCUUUUACAAGGGAUAAUAAAAGGGAGACAGUGAUGGGAACCAAGUCUGGUCAGUCACAUCAUUCACACUAACUGAUGAGGGCACGUGAGAGCGUAGGCAUGUUAUUUCAGCAAGAUGAUCUGAUUGAGGACUUCUAAGGUGGAAGACAACUGAGGGACACAAACUCCCCCACUCACACCAACUGGUAAGCCAGCCAGCUAUGGGCACCAUUUUCAGGAAGGAUUAACCUUAAGAGUGUGAAGGAAGGGGCCUGGACUAGGAGAGCACAAAAACUGCAGAGCUCUGCAAACCCUUGGGUGUGUGCAGGGGAAGGGGGAGCAGGAGGAACAAGGGGAGGGAACAGGUGGGAAAAGGCAUCACUAGAGGCACCUGAUCACAGACUAUCCCACUGUCCUGUAUUUUCUCUAGUUAAUGUUUUUUUUCAACUGCCUUUUCUGCACUCUUUCCCAUGUGUACACGUGCUUUAAGGACUGUAUCAGCCUGGAUGUGUUGAGUGAACCUCACUGCCAGUCAGUGGAGUCAGGUUGUGAACUGGACACAUUGGCACAUUGUGCCAGCUGGUGGAGUCAGUGAGGUCCCAGCAUAGGCUACUGGAGCCAGGCAGUUGGUGGGACUGAGAUGGCACACCCAGACUUUUCAGUGUAGUGUGACUGAAGGACAGCUGUGCACAGUUACAGCCAGCUUCAGGCUAGACCUGCUGGUGACCAGCUGAUUGCCUGGCCGUCCACAUGUGCCUAUGCAACUCUGGGAUAGGUGCUCCGCUUUGCUACUGGCUGAACCUGCAAAGGGGAAAGCAGCAAAUGUGUCCCCCACCCUGGCAGUGACCCCAGGUCCCCAGACUGGGCAAGAAGCAGGUGGAGGAGGCAGCCAUGCUCUCUUUGGUCUUUAUCUCACAAUCUUCAACCACCUGCAGCUUGGAGAAAAUUUCAUUUCAGAACACUAGAAGGUGGGUAAAAGUAAGAAAAAAAAAAUUGUUUUCUUCUUGAGAAUGUAUUCGAAACUGAAAAUAUUUGUACUGCUCAGACUCCAGAAACGCAAGUGGCCUUCUAGUUCACCAAAAUUAAUAUAAGAAACCCUUUUAUGCCACACUUGUAGCGUGUAAUGCAAGACCAAACUUCUCUGCUGAAACCAAAAGUUUAAGUAGAGUAAUUAAAUAAAUCUGAAGUACCUCUUUCAAAACAUUCUUAGGAAUACACAAAGAAGAUUUGCAUCAGGUAUGGAGUGAUCAGGUAGUCAGGAAAACUACGAUGCGAAGGACUCUGACUAUUUCAGCUCCUUUAUUAAUAGUACAGUGCAGCAACAUCAAUUGAAAUAAAUACAGUUUGUAUAUAAUAUAAAAAUAUAACCCUUAAAGUUUGUACUGUGCUAGGACUUAAGUACUGAGCUUAAACAGCAGAUAUAUAACAUUUUAUCUUAAAUAACGCGGAGAGACAGGUACACUCAACCAAAUGGAUCUAGUAACGUUUUCUUUAAUCUGAUGACAAACAUACAAAGACCAGUUUAUUAGUCUGUUGUAACCAUAUGUCACACUUCAGAUGAGAGCUGAGAGCAAACUAACUGUUUUUCAAAGCUUUCUCUUUCUCAUUGUUCUCUCACCACAGUACAGUGGUUCUACAGCCAAAACAAAUUUUGGAUAGUAUCAUUUAUUAGCCGAUCCAGAAAAGCAUUACUCAGACAACCAGCUUAAGGCACUAUGGUUUCCACAACAGACACAUUAACUGGGGAAAAAAAAAAAAAAAAAAAAAAAUCAAAAAGAGGCUAUUAGAGUUCAGCUACAGUACUAUGAUAAACAUGUUUUUUUCUCUGAAUAUAUAUGACAACACAUU